GAUGAACGCUGGCGGCGUGCCUAAUACAUGCAAGUCGAGCGAACGGACGAGAAGCUUGCUUCUCUGAUGUUAGCGGCGGACGGGUGAGUAACACGUGGAUAACCUACCUAUAAGACUGGGAUAACUUCGGGAAACCGUAGCUAAUACCGGAUAAUAUUUUGAACCGCAUGGUUCAAAAGUGAAAGACGGUCUUGCUGUCACUUAUAGAUGGAUCCGCGCUGCAUUAGCUAGUUGGUAAGGUAACGGCUUACCAAGGCAACGAUGCAUAGCCGACCUGAGAGGGUGAUCGGCCACACUGGAACUGAGACACGGUCCAGACUCCUACGGGAGGCAGCAGUAGGGAAUCUUCCGCAAAGGGCGAAAGCCUGACGGAGCAACGCCGCGUGAGUGAUGAAGGUCUUCGGAUCGUAAAACUCUGUUAUUAGGGAAGAACAUAUGUGUAAGUAACUGUGCACAUCUUGACGGUACCUAAUAAGAAAGCCACGGCUAACUACGUG
RNAcentral lists this ribosomal RNA (497 nucleotides) under uncultured bacterium. RNAcentral's name for it is "partial 16S ribosomal RNA". It matches the Rfam family "Bacterial small subunit ribosomal RNA", at positions 28 to 507 of the family's 1533-position model. The record is from RNAcentral.